UACGGAGGGAGCAAGCGUUACUCGGAAUCAUUGGGCGUAAAGGGCGCGUAGGCGAUUCGAUGAGUCUCAUGUGAAAGCCCAGAGCUUAACUCUGGAAGUGCAUGAGAUACUGUUGAAUUUGAGUUCAGGAGAGGAAAGCAGAAUUCCCGGUGUAGCGGUGAAAUGCGUAGAUAUCGGGAGGAAUACCAGAGGCGAAGGCGGCUUUCUGGACUGACACUGACGCUGAGGCGCGAAAGCCAGGGGAGCGAACGGG
RNAcentral lists this ribosomal RNA (253 nucleotides) under uncultured bacterium. Its description in RNAcentral is "partial 16S ribosomal RNA". It matches the Rfam family "Bacterial small subunit ribosomal RNA", at positions 524 to 776 of the family's 1533-position model. The record is from RNAcentral.